GGGUUGUGAGGUUAAGUGACUAAGCGUACACGGUGGAUGCCUAGGCAGUCAGAGGCGAUGAAGGGCGUGCUAAUCUGCGAAAAGCGUCGGUAAGGUGAUAUGA
Molecule: ribosomal RNA, 103 nt
Filed under: Serratia marcescens
Lineage: Bacteria; Pseudomonadati; Pseudomonadota; Gammaproteobacteria; Enterobacterales; Yersiniaceae
Description: partial 23S ribosomal RNA
Rfam family: Bacterial large subunit ribosomal RNA
Source: RNAcentral